UCAGGCUAAUUUAGAAGGUAACUACACAAACCCGCCCCUCUUUUUUUUUCUUUUCUCAAUUUCCCCUAAAUUUGCAGCUCAGUAAUGGCAGUGAGCUUAGAAGGAGACAAGGUGAUACUCGUUCCUUACAUGGAACCUCACGUCCCUAAAUACCAUCAAUGGAUGCAAGACCCGUUUCUUCUCCAAGCAACCGGGUCGGAUCCUCUGUCCCUCCAAGAAGAAUACACCAUGCAGCAGUCUUGGACCCAAGACCCGCUCAAGAGGACUUUUAUUGUGUUGGAUAAGGAGUUUGUGGAUGGUGAAUUUGUUCAUGGGGAUUCUCAUGUGGAAGCCAUGAUAGGUGAUGUAAACAUAUAUAUGAAUGACUUGGAUGAUCCGCAAAUGGCUGAAAUAGAGAUAAUGAUAGCUGAACCCAAAAGCCGUGGUAAAGGACUGGGGAAGGAAUCGGUAUUAAUGAUGAUGGCCUACGCUAUCCAAGAUCUUGGGAUUCAUGUUUUCCGUGCUAAAAUUGGAGAAUCAAACAGUUCUUCUCUUCAUUUGUUCCGCAAAUUGGGUUUUGAGGAGGCUUCUCAUAGUGAGAUUUUUAAAGAGGUGACAUUGGAGUUACCGGUGACUAAAUCUAAACAUGAAGAACUUCUAAAGCUGGUUAAUUAUGUGGUCAAACAUACACUUCCCUGUGCAACGACUUGCUGAUUUUAGCAUACUACUCUGACUGCAUAUUCUAACCGGAUUCAUUGUAGUUCCAGCGGAGUUGAGCUUGUAGUACCAGAAGAUUGUGGACCGGAAAACUCAAAACUGUUGGGAUCAUCAUUAUCAUCGUGCUGCUCCUCAUAAUAAGAUUGUUGAAAAGUACUUGGUGCUGCUGCCAUAGAGUGUGUAUGAUCCUCACUAUCAGAAUCUGAAGUGCUAACACUUGAUGAUAGACUAGAUGGAAAGGAUAACGUAUCAAUUUGACUCAUGUCAAGAGUAGGCAUAUUUGCGCCAUGGGCUGGAAAUGUUUAUUUUACAUUUGCACCUUGAUCAGUCGAUUCUGCUGCAGAUGAAGAAAUUGAUUUCGGUGAGGGAUUUUUUUUUUUCCGAAGACUUUUAUUAAACAAUUCUCUUUCAAGACCAAGACUUCGAAGCUCCUCUUCAGUCAUUUCUAGUAUUAUUUCAGAUAGUUGGCAAAGUGAUUUGGGUAUAGAAAAAGAAAAGGUUAUACUGUAUAAGUAGUAGUAUUUUUUGGUUUCAUAUUUUUUUUUUCAAGGGCUUGGAUAUCUUCCUAUUUUAAUUUCUUUGGCACCAAGAUCAGUCAAGGAUAAUCUUUUAAUCAACAACCUCAUUUCAUCUUGUCUAGCUUGCACUUUACUUUGAAGACCAAAAAUUUAAUUUC
Molecule: RNA transcript, 1372 nt
Organism: Mercurialis annua (annual mercury)
Lineage: Eukaryota; Viridiplantae; Streptophyta; Magnoliopsida; Malpighiales; Euphorbiaceae
Exons: 8
Source: RefSeq, a predicted model, not a curated record